CGCUGAGCAGCAGGUCAGACAGCGUGCGGGCCGCAAUGCAGCAGGCGCCUUCUAAGCGCUUGGCCGCAGGUUCGAGUCCUGCCGGGGCAC
This 90-nucleotide transfer RNA is filed under the name Streptomyces sp. AM 2-1-1. Its description in RNAcentral is "tRNA-Arg". Lineage: Bacteria; Bacillati; Actinomycetota; Actinomycetes; Kitasatosporales; Streptomycetaceae. The record is from RNAcentral.